AGCUUUGCACAGUGGCAAUAUCAUAGCCAAAGAGGUUUAUCUGAGGUGCGAUUAUUGCUAACUGAAGAGCUUGUCUUCAGUUGAA
RNAcentral lists this small nuclear RNA (85 nucleotides) under Tupaia belangeri (northern tree shrew). RNAcentral's name for it is "U4 spliceosomal RNA (ENSTBEG00000020222.1)". The stretch from base 1 to 68 matches the Rfam family "U4 spliceosomal RNA". From Rfam's summary of the family: U4 small nuclear RNA (U4 snRNA) is a component of the major U2-dependent spliceosome. The structure of U4 snRNA from yeast and human has been reported. The record is from RNAcentral. Lineage: Eukaryota; Metazoa; Chordata; Mammalia; Scandentia; Tupaiidae.